Macaca fascicularis (crab-eating macaque) is the source of this 117-nucleotide unclassified non-coding RNA. It matches the Rfam family "Metazoan signal recognition particle RNA". Rfam says of the family: The signal recognition particle (SRP) is a universally conserved ribonucleoprotein. It is involved in the co-translational targeting of proteins to membranes. The eukaryotic SRP consists of a 300-nucleotide 7S RNA and six proteins: SRPs 72, 68, 54, 19, 14, and 9. The record is from Ensembl. Lineage: Eukaryota; Metazoa; Chordata; Mammalia; Primates; Cercopithecidae.
GCCAGGCGUGGUGGCUCAUGCCUGUAAUCCCAGCACUUUGGGAGGCUGAGGUGGGUGGAUCACUUGAGGUCAGGAGUUCGAGACCAGCCUGGCCAACAUGGUGAAACCCCAUCUCUA